Molecule: ribosomal RNA, 215 nt
Filed under: uncultured fungus
Lineage: Eukaryota; Fungi
Description: partial small subunit ribosomal RNA
Rfam family: Eukaryotic small subunit ribosomal RNA (bases 89-215)
Source: RNAcentral
GAUCCGGCUGAGUGGUUCUGCCAAUGGUAGACACUGCUCUGGUCGGAUCUUUCUUUCUGGGGAACUAGCGUGCUCUUAACUGAGUGCGUUAGGGAUCCAGGACUUUUACUUUGAAAAAAUUAGAGUGUUUAAAGCAGGCCUACGCUUGAAUACGUUAGCAUGGAAUAAUAGAAUAGGACUUUGGUUCUAUUUUGUUGGUUUCUAGGACCGAGGUA